Molecule: ribosomal RNA, 168 nt
Filed under: Triticum aestivum (bread wheat)
Lineage: Eukaryota; Viridiplantae; Streptophyta; Magnoliopsida; Poales; Poaceae
Description: partial small subunit ribosomal RNA
Source: RNAcentral
AUGGGCUGCUGGAGCCUCAGGCAUCUUCCUGUCGUCGAACGCAACACCAACCCGACCAAGGUGGGUUGUGAGAAGGAAUGGUGGAACAACCUAAAGUGGAGCGGGUUGGAGGAGAACCACCAUCCUUCCCUCUACAAGCCAAGCGACUCACUGUACUACAAGGCCUAG